GACGAACGCUGGCGGCGUGCCUAAUACAUGCAAGUAGAACGCUGAAGGAGGAGCUUGCUUCUCCGGAUGAGUUGCGAACGGGUGAGUAACGCGUAGGUAACCUGCCUGGUAGCGGGGGAUAACUAUUGGAAACGAUAGCUAAUACCGCAUAAGAGUAGAUGUUGCAUGACAUUUGCUUAAAAGGUGCAAUUGCAUCACUACCAGAUGGACCUGCGUUGUAUUAGCUAGUUGGUGGGGUAACGGCUCACCAAGGCGACGAUACAUAGCCGACCUGAGAGGGUGAUCGGCCACACUGGGACUGAGACACGGCCCAGACUCCUACGGGAGGCAGCAGUAGGGAAUCUUCGGCAAUGGACGGAAAUCUGACCGAGCAACGCCGCGUGAGUGAAGAAGGUUUUCGGAUCGUAAAGCUCUGUUGUAAGAGAAGAACGAGUGUGAGAGUGGAAAGUUCACACUGUGACG
Molecule: ribosomal RNA, 462 nt
Filed under: Streptococcus mitis
Lineage: Bacteria; Bacillati; Bacillota; Bacilli; Lactobacillales; Streptococcaceae
Description: bacterial SSU rRNA
Rfam family: Bacterial small subunit ribosomal RNA
Source: RNAcentral